RNAcentral lists this ribosomal RNA (253 nucleotides) under uncultured bacterium. RNAcentral's name for it is "partial 16S ribosomal RNA". It matches the Rfam family "Bacterial small subunit ribosomal RNA", at positions 524 to 776 of the family's 1533-position model. The record is from RNAcentral.
UACGGAGGGGGCUAGCGUUGUUCGGAAUUACUGGGCGUAAAGCGCACGUAGGCGGCUUUGUAAGUUAGAGGUGAAAGCCCAGGGCUCAACCCUGGAAUUGCCUUUAAGACUGCAUCGCUAGAACAUCGGAGAGGUAAGUGGAAUUCCGAGUGUAGAGGUGAAAUUCGUAGAUAUUCGGAAGAACACCAGUGGCGAAGGCGACUUACUGGACGAUUGUUGACGCUGAGGUGCGAAAGCGUGGGGAGCAAACAGG